UACAGAGGGUGCAAGCGUUAAUCGGAAUGACUGGGCGUAAAGGGUGCGUAGGUGGUUGUAUAAGUUGGUUGUGAAAUCCCCGGGCUUAACCUGGGAACUGCAGCCAAAACUGUACGACUUGAGUAGAGUAGAGGAAAGUAGAAUUUCCGGUGUAGCGGUGAAAUGCGUAGAUAUCGGAAGGAAUACCAGUGGCGAAGGCGGCUUUCUGGACUCAUACUGACACUGAGGCACGAAAGCGUGGGGAGCAAACAGG
RNAcentral lists this ribosomal RNA (253 nucleotides) under uncultured bacterium. RNAcentral's name for it is "partial 16S ribosomal RNA". It matches the Rfam family "Bacterial small subunit ribosomal RNA", at positions 524 to 776 of the family's 1533-position model. The record is from RNAcentral.